Molecule: ribosomal RNA, 496 nt
Filed under: uncultured bacterium
Lineage: Bacteria
Description: partial 16S ribosomal RNA
Rfam family: Bacterial small subunit ribosomal RNA
Source: RNAcentral
AUGAACGCUGGCGGCGUGCCUAAUACAUGCAAGUCGAGCGAACAGACGAGGAGCUUGCUCCUCUGACGUUAGCGGCGGACGGGUGAGUAACCCGUGGAUAACCUACCUAUAAGACUGGGAUAACUUCGGGAAACCGGAGCUAAUACCGGAUAAUAUAUUGAACCGCAUGGUUCAAUAGUGAAAGACGGUUUUGCUGUCACCUAUAUAUUGAUCCGCGCCGCAUUAGCUAGUUUGUAAGGUAACGGCUUACCAAGGCAACGAUGGGUAGCCGACCUGAGAGGGGGGUCGGCCCCACUGGAAAUGAGACACGGGCCAAACACCCUCGGGAGGCAAAAGUAGGGAAAUUUACGCAAGGGGGGAAAGCCCGAAGGGGGAAAGGCGCGUGGGGGAAGAAGGGUUUUGGAAUGUAAAACUCUUUUAAUAGGGAAGAAAAAAUGUGUAAGUAAAUAUGCACGUUUUGAAGGGAACUAAUCAGAAAGGCCAGGGUAAAUACGUG